Molecule: ribosomal RNA, 468 nt
Filed under: uncultured bacterium
Lineage: Bacteria
Description: partial 16S ribosomal RNA
Rfam family: Bacterial small subunit ribosomal RNA
Source: RNAcentral
GACGAACGCUGGCGGCGUGCUUAACACAUGCAAGUCGAACGGAAAGGCCCUGCUUUUGUGGGGUGCUCGAGUGGCGAACGGGUGAGUAACACGUGAGUAACCUGCCCUUGACUUUGGGAUAACUUCAGGAAACUGGGGCUACUACCGGAUAGGAGCUCCUGCUGCAUGGUGGGGGUUGGAAGGUUUCGGCGGUUGGGGAUGGACUCGCGGCUUAUCAGCUUGUUGGUGGGGUAGUGGCUUACCAAGGCUUUGACGGGUAGCCGGCCUGAGAGGGUGACCGGCCACAUUGGGACUGAGAUACGGCCCAGACUCCUACGGGAGGCAGCAGUGGGGAAUAUUGCACAAUGGGCGGAAGCCUGAUGCAGCAACGCCGCGUGCGGGAUGACGGCCUUCGGGUUGUAAACCGCUUUCGCCUGUGACGAAGCGUGAGUGACGGUAAUGGGUAAAGAAGCACCGGCUAACUACGUG